Molecule: ribosomal RNA, 460 nt
Filed under: uncultured bacterium
Lineage: Bacteria
Description: partial 16S ribosomal RNA
Rfam family: Bacterial small subunit ribosomal RNA
Source: RNAcentral
CCUACGGGUGGCUGCAGUGAGGAAUAUUGGUCAAUGGGCGUAAGCCUGAACCAGCCAAGUCGCGUGAGGGAUGAAGGUUCUAUGGAUCGUAAACCUCUUUUUUAAGGGAAUAAAGUGUGGGACGUGUCCUGUUUUGUCUGUACCUUAUGAAUAAGGAUCGGCUAACUCCGUGCCAGCAGCCGAGGUAAUACGGAGGAUCCGAGCGUUAUCCGGUUUUAUUGGGUUUACAGGGUGCGUAGGCGGCCUUUUAAGUCAGAGGUGAAAUGCUGUGGCUCAACCAUAGAAUUGCCGUUGAAACUGGGAGGCUAGAGUAUGUGUGAGGUAGGCGGAAUGCGUGGUGUAGCGGUGAAAUGCUUAGAGAUCACGCAGAACCCCGAUUGCGAAGGCAGCCUGCCAAGCCAUGACUGACGCUGAUGCACGAAAGCGUGGGGAGCAAACAGGAUUAGAUACCCCAGUAGUC